This 403-nucleotide ribosomal RNA is filed under the name Verrucomicrobiota bacterium. Its description in RNAcentral is "Verrucomicrobia bacterium partial 16S ribosomal RNA". It matches the Rfam family "Bacterial small subunit ribosomal RNA", at positions 355 to 776 of the family's 1533-position model. Lineage: Bacteria; Pseudomonadati; Verrucomicrobiota. The record is from RNAcentral.
UGGGGAAUAUUGCACAAUGGGGGAAACCCUGAUGCAGCGACGCCGCGUGAGCGAUGAAGGCUUUCGAGUCGUAAAGCUCUGUCCUAUGGGAAGAUAAUGACGGUACCAUAGAAGAAAGCCCCGGCUAAUUACGUGCCAGCAGCCGCGGUAAUACGUAUGGGGCGAGCGUUGUCCGGAAUUAUUGGGCGUAAAGGGUACGUAGGUGGUUUUUUAAGUCAGGUGUCAAAGCGUGGAGCUUAACUCCAUUAAGCACUUGAAACUGAAAGACUUGAGUGAAGGAGAGGAAAGUGGAAUUCCUAGUGUAGCGGUGAAAUGCGUAGAUAUUAGGAGGAAUACCGGUGGCGAAGGCGACUUUCUGGACUUUUACUGACGCUCAGGUACGAAAGCGUGGGGAGCAAACAGG